Molecule: ribosomal RNA, 259 nt
Filed under: uncultured prokaryote
Description: partial 16S ribosomal RNA
Rfam family: Bacterial small subunit ribosomal RNA
Source: RNAcentral
UACGGAGGAUGCGAGCGUUAUCCGGAUUUAUUGGGUUUAAAGGGUGCGUAGGCGGCUUCUUAAGUCAGCGGUGAAAUUUUGCAGCUUAACUGUAACAGUGCCGUUGAUACUGGGGGGCUAGGAUUUGGUUGCUGUGGGUGGAAUGUGUGGUGUAGCGGUGAAAUGCUUAGAGAUCACACAGAAUAUCGAUUGCGAAGGCAGCUCACAAAGCCAAGAUUGACGCUGAGGCACGAAAGUGUGGGGAUCAAACAGGAUUAGA